GGGUUGUGAGGUUAAGCGACUAAGCGUACACGGUGGAUGCCCUGGCAGUCAGAGGCGAUGAAGGACGUGCUAAUCUGCGAUAAGCGUCGGUAAGGUGAUAUGAACCGUUAUAACCGGCGAUUUCCGAAUGGGGAAACCCAGUGUGUUUCGACACACUAUCAUUAACUGAAUCCAUAGGUUAAUGAGGCGAACCGGGGGAACUGAAACAUCUAAGUACCCCGAGGAAAAGAAAUCAACCGAGAUUCCCCCAGUAGCGGCGAGCGAACGGGGAGCAGCCCAGAGCCUGAAUCAGUAUGUGUGUUAGUGGAAGCGUCUGGAAAGGCGCGCGAUACAGGGUGACAGCCCCGUACACAAAAAUGCACAUAUUGUGAGCUCGAUGAGUAGGGCGGGACACGUGGUAUCCUGUCUGAAUAUGGGGGACCAUCCUCCAAGGCUAAAUACUCCUGACUGACCGAUAGUGAACCAGUACCGUGAGGGAAAGGCGAAAAGAACCCCGGCGAGGGGAGUGAAAAAGAACCUGAAACCGUGUACGUACAAGCAGUGGGAGCACGCUUAGGCGUGUGACUGCGUACCUUUUGUAUAAUGGGUCAGCGACUUAUAUUCUGUAGCAAGGUUAACCGAAUAGGGGAGCCGAAGGGAAACCGAGUCUUAACUGGGCGUUAAGUUGCAGGGUAUAGACCCGAAACCCGGUGAUCUAGCCAUGGGCAGGUUGAAGGUUGGGUAACACUAACUGGAGGACCGAACCGACUAAUGUUGAAAAAUUAGCGGAUGACUUGUGGCUGGGGGUGAAAGGCCAAUCAAACCGGGAGAUAGCUGGUUCUCCCCGAAAGCUAUUUAGGUAGCGCCUCGUGAAUUCAUCUCCGGGGGUAGAGCACUGUUUCGGCAAGGGGGUCAUCCCGACUUACCAACCCGAUGCAAACUGCGAAUACCGGAGAAUGUUAUCACGGGAGACACACGGCGGGUGCUAACGUCCGUCGUGAAGAGGGAAACAACCCAGACCGCCAGCUAAGGUCCCAAAGUCAUGGUUAAGUGGGAAACGAUGUGGGAAGGCCCAGACAGCCAGGAUGUUGGCUUAGAAGCAGCCAUCAUUUAAAGAAAGCGUAAUAGCUCACUGGUCGAGUCGGCCUGCGCGGAAGAUGUAACGGGGCUAAACCAUGCACCGAAGCUGCGGCAGCGACGCUUAUGCGUUGUUGGGUAGGGGAGCGUUCUGUAAGCCUGUGAAGGUGUGCUGUGAGGCAUGCUGGAGGUAUCAGAAGUGCGAAUGCUGACAUAAGUAACGAUAAAGCGGGUGAAAAGCCCGCUCGCCGGAAGACCAAGGGUUCCUGUCCAACGUUAAUCGGGGCAGGGUGAGUCGACCCCUAAGGCGAGGCCGAAAGGCGUAGUCGAUGGGAAACAGGUUAAUAUUCCUGUACUUGGUGUUACUGCGAAGGGGGGACGGAGAAGGCUAUGUUGGCCGGGCGACGGUUGUCCCGGUUUAAGCGUGUAGGCUGGUUUUCCAGGCAAAUCCGGAAAAUCAAGGCUGAGGCGUGAUGACGAGGCACUACGGUGCUGAAGCAACAAAUGCCCUGCUUCCAGGAAAAGCCUCUAAGCAUCAGGUAACAUCAAAUCGUACCCCAAACCGACACAGGUGGUCAGGUAGAGAAUACCAAGGCGCUUGAGAGAACUCGGGUGAAGGAACUAGGCAAAAUGGUGCCGUAACUUCGGGAGAAGGCACGCUGAUAUGUAGGUGAAGUCCCUCGCGGAUGGAGCUGAAAUCAGUCGAAGAUACCAGCUGGCUGCAACUGUUUAUUAAAAACACAGCACUGUGCAAACACGAAAGUGGACGUAUACGGUGUGACGCCUGCCCGGUGCCGGAAGGUUAAUUGAUGGGGUUAGCCGCAAGGCGAAGCUCUUGAUCGAAGCCCCGGUAAACGGCGGCCGUAACUAUAACGGUCCUAAGGUAGCGAAAUUCCUUGUCGGGUAAGUUCCGACCUGCACGAAUGGCGUAAUGAUGGCCAGGCUGUCUCCACCCGAGACUCAGUGAAAUUGAACUCGCUGUGAAGAUGCAGUGUACCCGCGGCAAGACGGAAAGACCCCGUGAACCUUUACUAUAGCUUGACACUGAACAUUGAGCCUUGAUGUGUAGGAUAGGUGGGAGGCUUAGAAGUGUGGACGCCAGUCUGCAUGGAGCCGACCUUGAAAUACCACCCUUUAAUGUUUGAUGUUCUAACGUUGACCCGUAAUCCGGGUUGCGGACAGUGUCUGGUGGGUAGUUUGACUGGGGCGGUCUCCUCCUAAAGAGUAACGGAGGAGCACGAAGGUUGGCUAAUCCUGGUCGGACAUCAGGAGGUUAGUGCAAUGGCAUAAGCCAGCUUGACUGCGAGCGUGACGGCGCGAGCAGGUGCGAAAGCAGGUCAUAGUGAUCCGGUGGUUCUGAAUGGAAGGGCCAUCGCUCAACGGAUAAAAGGUACUCCGGGGAUAACAGGCUGAUACCGCCCAAGAGUUCAUAUCGACGGCGGUGUUUGGCACCUCGAUGUCGGCUCAUCACAUCCUGGGGCUGAAGUAGGUCCCAAGGGUAUGGCUGUUCGCCAUUUAAAGUGGUACGCGAGCUGGGUUUAGAACGUCGUGAGACAGUUCGGUCCCUAUCUGCCGUGGGCGCUGGAGAACUGAGGGGGGCUGCUCCUAGUACGAGAGGACCGGAGUGGACGCAUCACUGGUGUUCGGGUUGUCAUGCCAAUGGCACUGCCCGGUAGCUAAAUGCGGAAGAGAUAAGUGCUGAAAGCAUCUAAGCACGAAACUUGCCCCGAGAUGAGUUCUCCCUGACUCCUUGAGAGUCCUGAAGGAACGUUGAAGACGACGACGUUGAUAGGCCGGGUGUGUAAGCGCAGCGAUGCGUUGAGCUAACCGGUACUAAUGAACCGUGAGGCUUAACCUUACAACGCCGAAGCUGUU
Molecule: ribosomal RNA, 2931 nt
Filed under: Escherichia coli
Lineage: Bacteria; Pseudomonadati; Pseudomonadota; Gammaproteobacteria; Enterobacterales; Enterobacteriaceae
Description: 23S ribosomal RNA
Rfam family: Bacterial large subunit ribosomal RNA
Source: RNAcentral